RNAcentral lists this ribosomal RNA (477 nucleotides) under uncultured Candidatus Scalindua sp. RNAcentral describes it as "bacterial SSU rRNA". It matches the Rfam family "Bacterial small subunit ribosomal RNA", at positions 365 to 832 of the family's 1533-position model. Lineage: Bacteria; Pseudomonadati; Planctomycetota; Candidatus Brocadiia; Candidatus Brocadiales; Candidatus Scalinduaceae. The record is from RNAcentral.
UUCGCAAUGCCCGAAAGGGUGACGAAGCGACGCCGCGUGAGUGAGGAAGGCCUUCGGGUUGUAAAGCUCUGUCAGGAGUUAAGAAAUAUAAGUGUGCUAAUACCACAUUUAUUUGACAAAGGCUCCAAAGGAAGCCACGGCUAACUCUGUGCCAGCAGCCGCGGUAAUACAGAGGUGGCAAGCGUUGUUCGGAAUUAUUGGGCGUAAAGAGCACGUAGGUGGGUUUGUAAGUCAGAUGUGAAAGCCUUCUGUUCAACGGAAGAAUUGCAUCUGAAACUGCGAGUCUUGAGUGUAGGAGGGGAGAAUGGAACUUCUGGUGGAGCGGUGAAAUGCGUAGAUAUCAGAAGGAACGCCGGCGGCGAAAGCGAUUCUCUGGCCUAUUACUGACACUCAGUGUGCGAAAGCUAGGGGAGCAAACGGGAUUAGAUACCCCGGUAGUCCUAGCUGUAAACGAUGGGCACUAAGUAGAGGGGCAUU